Molecule: ribosomal RNA, 500 nt
Filed under: uncultured bacterium
Lineage: Bacteria
Description: partial 16S ribosomal RNA
Rfam family: Bacterial small subunit ribosomal RNA
Source: RNAcentral
AUUGAACGCUGGCGGCAUGCUUUACACAUGCAAGUCGAACGGCAGCACGGACUUCGGUCUGGUGGCGAGUGGCGAACGGGUGAGUAAUACAUCGGAACGUACCCAGUAAUGGGGGAUAACUAUCCGAAAGGAUAGCUAAUACCGCAUACGCCCUACGGGGGAAAGAGGGGGAUCGCAAGACCUCUUGUUAUUGGAGCGGCCGGUGGCGGAUUAGCUAGUUGGUGAGGUAAAGGCUCACCAAGGCGACGAUCAGUAGCGGGUCUUAGAGGACGAUCCGCCACACUGGAACUGAGACACGGUCCAGACUCCUACGGGAGGCAGCAGUGGGGAAUCUUGGACAAGGGGCGCAAGCCUGAUCCAGCAAUGCCGCGUGCGUGAAGAAGGCCUUCGGGUUGUAAAGCGCUUUUGUCAGGGAGCAAAUCCUUGUGGCUAAUACCCACCGGGGAUGAGAGUACCUGAAGAAUAAGGACCGGCUAACUACGUGCCAGCCGCCGCCGUAA